CCUUCAAUUUCUCCAAAUACCCCUAUUUCAAAACUUAAUUAAUACAAAAAAUAUUCUUAAUACAAAAAAUAUUCUUAAUUACAUCACCAACUCCACCAUCAACCAAUAAAUCUCUCGUUAACCCACAAAACCCCUUAAUUUGUUUCACAAGAGAUUGGCACAACAACAGUAUAAUAAUAGAGGCAAUCAUUGCCAAAGUGGCAAACUCAUCUGGUGUGUCACCAAUCAUUAAACACCCUAACAUUUAUUCUUCUAACAACAACUUUUUUGUUGUCAACUUCUGUAAAUCUCCAUUCUUCAUUCCCUUAAUCCCCCAUCUCUUUCUCUCACAAAGUGUUAGCUAGUUUUAAUUAUUUUUGUUGAAGAAAUCAGAAAAUUAAAAAUAAAAAUAAAAUAAAAUGGGAGUUUCAUUAUUUGUGUUAGGGUGCACAGGUAUGGUUAUGUUUUACCAUGGAGCUCAUCUACUCUUCCAUGUCCUCUCUUCUCAUGUUGCUCUUCGUUCUCUCAGUUUCCUGGGAUUUGUUGGAUGGUAAAUUCAAGAUGAGAAGCUACUGAACGAUCAUAAGAAAAUUUAAGGAUAAUGAUCAUUUGGAACUUUUAAUGGAUAGUUCUUAUACUUCUGCAGUACAUAGUUGGAUUAUUGGAUCAAUAAAAUUUUGGAUUUUAAGCCAUUUGAAAAUGCUUUAAUAAAUGUCAACCCAUCAUUGUUUAGCACACUUUUGGUGGGUUCGGCGGUAACGUUUACGGUAGCGGAUAGCGUUUUAAUGUAUUCACUAAAUGUUUAGUGAGAUAGAGCCAUAGAGGUUAGUGGUAGUCUGGUAGAUGUAGCGGCUAAGUAACUUUUCUCAAACGUCAAAAAUAGUACUCUAUGGUGUUUAAGAACAUAUACAUUGGUUGACUCUUCAAAAGAGCUAUUGGAGGGUUCUCCACUCUCUCUCUACCAUCAUCUCUCUACAAGACACCAAUAAUUGAUUCUAAAAAGCACCCAACGUUGGUUGGUUCCUCAAUUGAGCUCUCCAAUAUAUUAAUUUUCAACCAUUUGGUGGUUCGUAA
This is a long non-coding RNA of Spinacia oleracea (spinach), 1053 nucleotides long. RefSeq lists it as uncharacterized. The record is from RefSeq and is a predicted model, not a curated record. The transcript is spliced from 2 exons. Lineage: Eukaryota; Viridiplantae; Streptophyta; Magnoliopsida; Caryophyllales; Amaranthaceae.